Molecule: ribosomal RNA, 486 nt
Filed under: uncultured bacterium
Lineage: Bacteria
Description: bacterial SSU rRNA
Rfam family: Bacterial small subunit ribosomal RNA
Source: RNAcentral
AUUGAACGCUGGCGGCAUGCUUUACACAUGCAAGUCGAACGGUAACAGGCCUUCGGGCGCUGACGAGUGGCGAACGGGUGAGUAAUGCAUCGGAACGUGCCCAGAGGUGGGGAUAACGCAGCGAAAGCUGUGCUAAUACCGCAUAUUAUCUGAGGAUGAAAGCGGGGGACUAAGCAGCAAUGUUUGGCCUCGCGCCUUUGGAGCGGCCGAUGUCAGAUUAGGUAGUUGGUGGGGUAAAGGCCUACCAAGCCGACGAUCUGUAGCUGGUCUGAGAGGACGACCAGCCACACUGGGACUGAGACACGGCCCAGACUCCUACGGGAGGCAGCAGUGGGGAAUAUUGGGCAAUGGUCGCAAGACUGACCCAGCCAUGCCGCGUGCAGGAAGAAGGUCCUCUGGAUUGUAAACUGCUUUUAUCGGGGAAGAAUAGUUUUCUUGCGAGGGAAUGUGACGGUACCCGAUGAAUAAGCCACGGCUAACUACGUG